AUUUUGUCAAUUGUGCAUUAUAUAUGGCCUAGUAUUUUAUAAAAAUGAUUUGGUCCAAUUUUGCAACAAUUAUUUGGUAGUUCCUUCACAAAAAAACCUCCUUUUGGGCACUCGAAAAAAGAAAAAUGAAUUUUCCGUGCAAAGAAAAUGAAAACUUCCUUAGGCAAUAUUGUUCGGAAUUACAAGAUGCACCCUUGUGCAAAAUAUGAGAUCAUUUGAACAAACUAUGCCAUGAAUGUGGCCAUAAGAUUGAUCAUUUGGCUUGAAAGCCAUGAAUCUUCACGCAUGAUAGCUCAUUUCUGAGAACACUUUUUUAAAAUAAUUACCGUAUUACAAGUUUAUUGUUUUUCCUGGAAACUUGGUCACAUAUAAUGACACAAUGCGAAGGUUUUCCAAUUUUUUGAUUUUUUUUUGAAUUUUGUGUGCCCGUUUUAAAAUGCGGUCAAAACAGCGGGCUUGACCGUUCCUAGCUAUUGGUUGAAUCUUGGAAAUUUUUUGGUGUUUCUAUGAUUAAAUAGAUACUUAUUUACCUAUAAAUGAUUUUUGAGAAAAAUAAAGAGCAAAAUAUGAGGUAGCUACAGUUCAAAUUUGACCCGUUUCCAUCUAAAUCGACGGUAAUUUGUCUUUUUCACCAAAGGUAGAUCAAAACUUUUUUCACCCAACCAUUUUGUCAAUUGUGCAUUAUAUAUGGCCUAGUAUUUUAUAAAAAUGAUUUGGUCCAAUUUUGCAACAAUUAUUUGGUAGUUCCUUCACAAAAAAACCUCAUUUUGGGCACUCGGAAAAUGAAAAAUGAAUUUUCCGUGCAAAGAAAAUGAAAACUUCCUUAGGCAACAUUGUUUGGAAUUUCAAGAUGCACCCUUGUGCACAAUAUGAGAUCAUUU
RNAcentral lists this long non-coding RNA (881 nucleotides) under Triticum aestivum (bread wheat). RNAcentral's name for it is "long non-coding RNA (TAES_LNC012649)". Lineage: Eukaryota; Viridiplantae; Streptophyta; Magnoliopsida; Poales; Poaceae. The record is from RNAcentral.